RNAcentral lists this ribosomal RNA (419 nucleotides) under bacterium. Its description in RNAcentral is "partial 16S ribosomal RNA". It matches the Rfam family "Bacterial small subunit ribosomal RNA", at positions 355 to 776 of the family's 1533-position model. The record is from RNAcentral.
UGGGGGAUAUUGCACAAUGGGCGAAAGCCUGAUGCAGCGACGCCGCGUGGGGGAUGAAGGCCUUCGGGUUGUAAACUUCUUUUGCUCUGAACAAGGCAUGCUAAUGGGUGUGUUGAGUGUAGGGGUUGAUUAGCGCCGGCUAACUACGUGCCAGCAGCCGCGGUAAUACGUAGGGCGCGAGCGUUGUCCAGAAUUAUUGGGCGUAAAGGGCUUGUAGGUGGCUGGUUGCGUCUGUCGUGAAAGCUCAUGGCUUAACUGGGGGUUUGCGGUGGGUACGGGCUGGCUUGAGUGCAGUAGGGGAGGCUGGAAUUCCUGGUGUAGCGGUGGAAUGCGCAGAUAUCAGGAGGAAUACCGGUGGCGAAGGCGGGUCUCUGGGCUGUUACUGACACUGAGGAGCGAAAGCAUGGGGAGCGAACAGG